Molecule: transfer RNA, 76 nt
Filed under: Erwinia phage Cronus
Lineage: Duplodnaviria; Heunggongvirae; Uroviricota; Caudoviricetes; Pantevenvirales; Straboviridae
Description: tRNA-Lys
Rfam family: tRNA
About the family: Transfer RNA (tRNA) molecules are approximately 80 nucleotides in length.
Source: RNAcentral
GCGUCGUUAGCUCAGCUGGUAGAGCAAGGGACUUUUAAUCCCGAGGUCCAUGGUUCGACUCCAUGACGAUGCACCA